GAUUGAAUGGCUGAAAAUUAGGUGAUAGACUGUAAAUCUAUUUAUGAGAUUUAAUCUCUUCAAUCA
RNAcentral lists this transfer RNA (66 nucleotides) under Monodiamesa sp. 2 CZ-2021a. Its description in RNAcentral is "tRNA-Tyr". It matches the Rfam family "tRNA". From Rfam's summary of the family: Transfer RNA (tRNA) molecules are approximately 80 nucleotides in length. Their secondary structure includes four short double-helical elements and three loops (D, anti-codon, and T loops). The record is from RNAcentral. Lineage: Eukaryota; Metazoa; Arthropoda; Insecta; Diptera; Chironomidae.